GCUAUGCGCGCGAAGUGCAGGAUGAGAAGCUGCUGCAGGUUUGACUGAAUCGCCGGGAGCGAUUCAGGCUGAUGCUUCAGCAUCACCCGAAGGGCGAGGCCCCGGAUGGGCCGAGGCAUAUCCUGCACGACCCACCA
RNAcentral lists this small RNA (137 nucleotides) under Pantoea sp. Its description in RNAcentral is "RtT sRNA". It matches the Rfam family "RtT RNA". Rfam says of the family: This family represents a bacterial cis-regulatory element known as RtT RNA. The exact function of RtT is unknown although it is thought that it may be involved in changing the cellular response in relation to amino acid starvation. Lineage: Bacteria; Pseudomonadati; Pseudomonadota; Gammaproteobacteria; Enterobacterales; Erwiniaceae. The record is from RNAcentral.